Molecule: RNA transcript, 1089 nt
Organism: Fundulus heteroclitus (mummichog)
Lineage: Eukaryota; Metazoa; Chordata; Actinopteri; Cyprinodontiformes; Fundulidae
Exons: 3
Source: RefSeq, a predicted model, not a curated record
GUGUGAUGUGUGCUGAUGUGUGGGACGCAGCUGGAUCCGUUCAGAACCUUUAAGAGAAAGCAGAGCGGGCGGAACACCGAGCUGGAACCGGAGCUUGGAGCGUAAAGUGUGAUGAAUGAAGCCGAGCUGCUGAAGCUGAGCUCGGCUGCUUUUUCCUCCCAGAGACGGAGCCAGCAGCGUCCAGGAGCCGCUGAGGACCCAGAGACAGGGGGCCAGACAGGGGCCCCGCUCGGUGAGUCCCUCUGCUGCACACAGGGCCCCUCAGCGGCAUCCUGUCCGCUAACUGCGCUCAGUUGAAGCCACGCUUCAGGCUGGAUUACAUGAACCGGACCAGCUGCUCUCAUGGACCCGCUUCUAACCCGGUUCUGACCCGUUCUGGCCCGGUUCUGACUCUCAUCAAAGCCCAGUAGAGGUCUGGAAUGUGACGUCAUCCUUAAAACAUCGCGGUUUAGGACGCGGAGACUUCAAGUAGAGUCUGGUAUCCAGUUAGAAGAAGUUGGGCCAGGGUGACGGCUGGUUGUCUGAGCAGCGAACAAGCGGCUCUCACUCUCACUUGUGAAACCUGAUCAGCUUUUCACCUGCAAAAGAUUUUUCCACAACAUCAUGUCUGUUGCUAAGCAAGAAGUUCUUGGUCAUCAUUUUACGGUCAGCCAAAAUGAGAUCUCUGUUCUGUACCAGAGGGAAACAGAACCUCUAAAAACCAAAAGGACCGAAGAGGAACUAGAACCUACACAAGUAAAAGAAGAAGAGUAUGGAUCAGAGCUUCUGCAGAUUGUGAUGAAAGAAGACCACAUAGAACUGGGGCAAGAGGGUGAUAGAUGGACAGUUUCUGGACCUCUUGAAAUCAAAGAAGAAUCAGAGGAACUAGAACUGAUCGAAAUGAAGAAAGAUGACCAUGAAUCAGAAUCUCAGUCGGCGGUAAAGACUGAGGUUGAAGGUAUCAAUAACGAUGAAAACCAGGAUGUACUGAAGCAGGAAACUAAGACAUUAAUGGGAACAGAUUGUGGAUCUCCUGAAAUCAAAAAGGAAUCAGAAGAACUCGACCCCAAAGAAGUGAAGGAAGAGGAGCAUGGAUCAGGACCUCCACAG